GAUGAAGAACGUAGUGAAAUGCGAUAAGUAAUGUGAAUUGCAGAAUUCAGUGAAUCAUCGAAUCUUUGAACGCACAUUGCGCCCGCCAGCAUUCUGGCGGGCAUGCCUGUUCGAGCGUCAUUUCAACCCUCAAGCUCUGCUUGGUGUUGGGGCCCUACGGUUGACGUAGGCCAUUAAAGGUAGUGGCGGACCCUCUCGGAGCCUCCUUUGCGUAGUAACUAACGUCUCGCAUUGGGAUUCGGAGGGACUCUUGCCGUAAAACCCCCAAAUUUUCUAAUGGUUGACCUCGGAUCAGGUAGGAAUACCCGCUGAACUUAAGCAUAUCAAUAAGCGGAGGA
This 338-nucleotide unclassified non-coding RNA is filed under the name soil metagenome. RNAcentral describes it as "partial contains 5.8S ribosomal RNA, internal transcribed spacer 2, and large subunit ribosomal RNA". The stretch from base 1 to 120 matches the Rfam family "5.8S ribosomal RNA", at positions 35 to 154 of the family's 154-position model. The record is from RNAcentral.